RNAcentral lists this ribosomal RNA (253 nucleotides) under uncultured bacterium. RNAcentral's name for it is "partial 16S ribosomal RNA". It matches the Rfam family "Bacterial small subunit ribosomal RNA", at positions 524 to 776 of the family's 1533-position model. The record is from RNAcentral.
GACAGAGGGUGCAAACGUUGUUCGGAAUUACUGGGCGUAAAGCGCGUGUAGGCGGCUUUGCAAGUCGGAUGUGAAGUCCCACGGCUCAACCGUGGAAGUGCAUUCGAAACUGCAAGGCUAGAGUCCUGGAGAGGAAGGUGGAAUGCUUGGUGUAGAGGUGAAAUUCGUAGAUAUCAAGCGGAACACCGGUGGCGAAGGCGGCCUUCUGGACAGUGACUGACGCUGAGACGCGAAAGCGUGGGGAGCAAACAGG